This 228-nucleotide unclassified non-coding RNA is filed under the name Ascomycota sp. RNAcentral's name for it is "partial contains small subunit ribosomal RNA, internal transcribed spacer 1, and 5.8S ribosomal RNA". The stretch from base 1 to 47 matches the Rfam family "Eukaryotic small subunit ribosomal RNA", at positions 1785 to 1831 of the family's 1831-position model. Lineage: Eukaryota; Fungi; Ascomycota. The record is from RNAcentral.
AAAGUCGUAACAAGGUUUCCGUAGGUGAACCAGCGGAGGGAUCAUUACAGAGUUGCAAAACUCCCAACCCUUUGUGAACGAACCUAAUAGUUGCUUCGGCGGCAGACCCCUCUGGGGCCUAGCCUUCGCGGGUACCCCGCCGGAGUCCUACAAACUCUUGAUUAUUUUGGCAUCUCUGAGUAGCUUAUAAAUAAGUUAAAACUUUCAACAACGGAUCUCUUGGUUCUG